UACGUAGGGUGCGAGCGUUGUCCGGAUUUAUUGGGCGUAAAGAGCUCGUAGGCGGUUUGUCGCGUCGGCCGUGAAAUCUCCACGCUUAACGUGGAGCGUGCGGUCGAUACGGGCAGACUUGAGUUCGGUAGGGGAGACUGGAAUUCCUGGUGUAGCGGUGAAAUGCGCAGAUAUCAGGAGGAACACCGGUGGCGAAGGCGGGUCUCUGGGCCGAUACUGACGCUGAGGAGCGAAAGCGUGGGGAUCAAACAGG
This 253-nucleotide ribosomal RNA is filed under the name uncultured bacterium. RNAcentral's name for it is "partial 16S ribosomal RNA". It matches the Rfam family "Bacterial small subunit ribosomal RNA", at positions 524 to 776 of the family's 1533-position model. The record is from RNAcentral.